UAAUUGUUUCAUCAAGCUUUU
RNAcentral lists this non-coding RNA (21 nucleotides) under Caenorhabditis elegans. The record is from RNAcentral. Lineage: Eukaryota; Metazoa; Nematoda; Chromadorea; Rhabditida; Rhabditidae.